GAUGAACGCUGGCGGCGUGCCUAAUACAUGCAAGUAGAACGCUGAAGGAAGGAGCUUGCUCUUUCCGGAUGAGUUGCGAACGGGUGAGUAACGCGUAGGUAACCUGCCUGGUAGCGGGGGAUAACUAUUGGAAACGAUAGCUAAUACCGCAUAACAGUAGAUGUUGCAUGAUAUCUACUUAAAAGGUGCAAUUGCACCACUACCAGAUGGACCUGCGUUGUAUUAGCUAGUUGGUGAGGUAACGGCUCACCAAGGCGACGAUACAUAGCCGACCUGAGAGGGUGAUCGGCCACACUGGGACUGAGACACGGCCCAGACUCCUACGGGAGGCAGCAGUAGGGAAUCUUCGGCAAUGGACGGAAGUCUGACCGAGCAACGCCGCGUGAGUGAAGAAGGGUUUCGGAUCGUAAAGCUCUGUUGUAAGAGAAGAACGAGUGUGAGAGUGGAAAGUUCACACUGUGACGGUAUCUUACCAGAAAGGGGCGGCUAACUACGUG
RNAcentral lists this ribosomal RNA (497 nucleotides) under uncultured bacterium. RNAcentral's name for it is "partial 16S ribosomal RNA". It matches the Rfam family "Bacterial small subunit ribosomal RNA", at positions 28 to 507 of the family's 1533-position model. The record is from RNAcentral.